This is a long non-coding RNA of Thamnophis elegans (Western terrestrial garter snake), 6611 nucleotides long. RefSeq lists it as uncharacterized. Lineage: Eukaryota; Metazoa; Chordata; Lepidosauria; Squamata; Natricidae. The record is from RefSeq and is a predicted model, not a curated record. The transcript has 3 exons.
CCGCCUCCGCCCGGGCGCUGCGCUGGGGAGACGAGAAAGGCCAGCGCUGCUCCCCCCCCCCAAGCUGGGCGCAGGUGUGUUUCUUGAGGAUCGGGCGCAGGGAGCGGCUCGCCCUUCUCUCGUUCCCUGCCAAGCCUGCGAGCGCCAAAGGCAAGAACGUCCUUCGGAACUGGCCAACUUUUCCUUCGCCUUAUUUCUGCAAAGCAGGUGGCCUCUGAGCGCCGAGCCCGAGACUCUCUUUAGGUUCGAGUUACAGACGCCAGAAAGAUCGGAGCCCUGGAAAGUUCCUUUGGCGGACUCACUGCUGGCAAUAAAGGAGCGCGCCGGGAGGAGGGCUCCACUGCAUUCGAACUCUUUCCCUUCCUAAAAAGCCUUGUGUGCGGCUCGUUUGCGAUCCUGCGACUUGCGCAAAGUCUUUGCUACCAAAGGGGUGCGAAAGAAUUCUGGCUUUGCGAGCUGAAAGCACAAGUUCUCCCGCGCAGCGCAUCUGUAUCGCUUUUGCUCCCGCUUUGCAGGUGGCCUCCUAACCCCUGACACUGGGGGGGGGGCUUUUAUGGGCGGCGCGGUUGGGUUCGGUUGCCGGGCCCAAACGGGCCAAGGAUUCGUUGGAAGGGAAGCCCCGCGACUAAGUUUGGAGCCGGUACUCUUGAAAUUAAAGGACGCGCUAGCUUUUUCCACAACCCCAAUCGCUGCGUUCUUCGCCCGCCGCCAGCUGGGUGUAAUUUCAUAGAGCGACAGCACCCACUAGCGGCCGCUAUGAAAACGCGCCUUUUAUUUUAACCUUCGCUUUUAGCGAUCCUCGGAAAAGUUCGCCUUGAAGUCAAAGUGGAACUUUUGUUGUUGUUUUUUAGUUUUGUUGAAAUCGUCGUCGGUUGUUAACGACGGGCUUUUUAAGAGAUUGAAUCCGUUUAGGAAUUAGAGGUGAAAUGGGCUGCUUUCGAUCUGAUUUGUCUUAAUCGGCAGGUAGCCAAAGCAAACGAACGCAAAUUAAAAUCUGGCUAAAACUAGAUAUAGCCCAUAUGCUAUGAAUUAUAAAACGUUUUAAUUGAGGGUUUGAAUGGUGGAGAGGUAGGAAUUCGAAAUUAUCUAAAACGACGUGGAUUUCAAGAAAGAUAGCCGUCAAAAAUAAUUUUGCGCCGAUAUUAGAAGGAUACGUGAUACCUCAAGUGUACGGUUAGACAUUAGAGGUUUGUUAGAGAAAUACCUAUUUAAAAAUAAACGCAAUGACUUUAUUUAAAAAAAAAGACAUUAGUUCUUUCGGACUGAGAAUCUGAAAAUACUUUUCAAUAUUGGCUUAACCACAGGGAACAAAGCACCUGGAAAAUAAAUGUCACGUCUACGCAGAAUUUUAUUCUCUUCUCUUCAUUAAAAAACUUAAAUGUUCUUGCGCUUAAAUAAAACGAUAUCAGGAAGUCAUCACCAGGACACAGGGUUAAUAAUUCAAGGGGGGAAACCGGGUUUGCAUUUCUGGAAUUUUUUCCGUGUUUAUUUAGCGGGGGGAUUUUUUUUUCUUAAAGCCGAGCGAAAGUUCCACUUCCAAAACCGAGUGACUCCGAUUUCGCAGCUCCAGGUUUGGUACCGUCUCCCGCAGUCACCGAAAUAGGGUGGCUAGAGUCUGCUCAUUCCGGAUCGAACGCUUCUCUCUCUUUCCUGGGACACUUGCACGAAAUUCACCUCCUCCAAGCGGAAUGAUUCGAGUAGCCCAAAUAAUUUCUCGGCUGUGGGGAGGGGGCAAUCCUUUGUGUGUGUGUCCCACACACACACACACACAGGAUUCAAUGCUGCGACUCCCAGACCCAGAGGUGAAGAGAAGCAGAAGAAGCGGGGAGGUUGUAGGAAUGGGAGACCACCUUUGUCCGAAGUUACCUUUUUCCAAAAAAAAAAAAAAAAAAAAAGAUAAAAAGAAACGACACUCCCUUCCAGAGGCUCGGAGCCACAACCGAGAAGAAAGUGGGGCAACUCGCCCUUCUGAGAUAGGCGUCUCUGGAGCCCUACAAGAACCCCGAGAGGCUUCGCCAGCUGGGAGAAGAAAACAUCUGGAAAUAGCCAAGUUGAGAGGUUUUUUUGGGGUGGCUGGGGGAAGGAAACGAACAAAGUGAAGCCAGCCACUUUAGCCCCAAGGAGACCUUCCUCGGAACACUUGGAAGAAUUGCAAAAAAGAAAUGGUUUUAAAGGAUUUCAACUUUUUUUCUGACUUUUAUUCAUUCAGGAAGACGGCGCCUGGAAGUCCCCCCUGGCCCGAUCUAAUUCGCUGAGCUGGACAACCGAUAGAGAGGUGGCUCCGGGGGAGGAGGGGGUCCUUUGGCUGUUGUUGGAACAGCGGAGCUAUAAGGAUCAAGUUUGGCUCACCACUAGGGCUGCGGAUGUUAGAGGGGCCUACUGCUGUGGUUGCCUAAACCAGGAACCGGCGACUUUUCAUCCCCUUCGGAAUAAGUAGGCCUGGUCUACCGGCAAGAAUUACUCUGAUUUGUUUAGCCUUAGAAGCAAGCAAAGGGGUCGAGGCCGCCACGCGAGGCCCGCAGGAGGAAGAGAAGCCGACCACAGCAGCGAAGGGAAGAGGUAAACAGGCCUUGGAUUGCAGGUUGGGAUGAUUCAGAUUGACUUCCACGGAACUGCCCCCAGGAUCUAGCUUCCAAGAAUUCUCGUUGGCACUGGUCUCUAAACCAGAAAGCCUUGGCCGAACCUAAGAUGGAAUUACUAUAGGAAUCAAGUUGCAUUUGGACUGGCUCCAAAGAAUUCCAUCAGACAGUUUCAAUUUUGCCAGAAUGAAGUUAAAAGCAUGGACUAAAGAAUCAAUCCUCUUGACCAGUCCUCUUGACUCUAGUUCAAGCAAAAGAAAAAGCCUUGCAAAUUCAACUUGAAGCUUCGUCACCAUUUCCUCAGCUGCUGAGAAUAGUCACAAUGCAAGAAAGGAAAUAAAGAGAAGGUCAGUGGCAGAAACCUUGCAAAAAUAACCCCUUGGACAAAACGGCUUUUUUUUUUCUUUCUUCCCCAUAAGUGACUGUCCUGACAAUGUCCUUCCAGGAAAUUUCGUUGGUUGGGACAAAAACUUCACAGGCAGCAAUACUUCAAAUUGGAAUCGGUUAAGACGCCACACCAGAAACUGGUAAUUGUAACCUUUUCCUCUUCUAAAUAGUUACAGACAACCUGUUCCAUAUGCUCAGCUUUUUUUUUUUUUGGGGGGGGGGGGGGAAUCAGCAGUUGACACCAUAUUAAACAAAAAAAAAGAGUCAAAACUGAAUUAAAAUAUUACAAUUUCCAAACUUGAUAUUUUGGGCCUUAGCAGCAAGACCAAAAUUAGAAAAUUUUGUUAUAUGUAAAAACAGGAUGAGAUGUGGAUAAAUUCUGAACAGCUUUCUUUAGUGCAAAACUAAAGCUUCCCCUUGUAUAUGGAACAAAACAGACAUUUAGUGAAUUUGCAAUAAAAAUGGGAAUCAGAAUAACUUAGCCUUCAGAGAUUCAGCAACCUAGCUGAAAGUUAAGUCAACACCAUGUUUCCUGAUAGCAGGAAAGCUUUAGAAACAAGUAGCAUGCUCAUUAUAUACAUAGUGAAGAAUAUUAAGAAAUGGAACCAUUUUCCUUGUCUAUGAAGAUACGGUUUUAUUAGACUACAAAACGUAAUUCUAAAUAAAUCAAACUUGAGCUCCAGCUGUACCUCAAAUUCAGCCUGUUGACAGUGUUUCUUCACUAGCAGUUUUUGCAGUAUAACUAGAAACGACAAUUAUAUUUCAUCAUGCUUGGUGAAGCUAUUUUAGCUAUUUUUAAUUAAAGGAAGAAUUGGGAAUGUCUAAACUUUUUGUUCCGGUUUUGAUCAAGAUGUAUUAUUUUUUUUCUACAUAUUUUAUUUGGGACAUUGCUAAUAGUUGGUUUCCAUUGAAAUAUUUCUGCUGAAUAAAGCUUUUAUGCUGAGGACACGAGCACAGGAUCAUUUCCUAUAAGUGAGAGCCAUAUGUGCAUGCACUCACACAUAUACAUUAUACACACACAUAUACAUACAUAUAUGUACACACACACACACACACACACACACACAGAGCCACUGUUAUGAAAGUUUAUUCAUUACUAUUAGGGCUUUCCAAUUCUUGCUCCCUUUUUUUAACAAGUAUCCAUUUUAUUUUACAACUUAACAUUUAUUUAUAAUAUUCAUAUUUUGUAUUGCCAACACUACAAAGACACCAUCAUUUAAAAAAACCUCAUAAAAAUUAUAACUUAUAACCAACCACAAACCACACAUUACAACUUAACUCCAGCACUUAUAUUAAGUGACAAUAUUUCAACUCUUUAAAAGCCAAUUAAUAACAUUUUGAUUAAGGGGUUUGGGGAAGAGCCAUUUCCAUGGCCCUCCUGAAUACUAUCAUAGAAGGCACCAUUCAGAUCUCCAAAGUAAGGAUAGCAUGUACAUCCUCCUCCAAAAUAUUAUGCUCCUGAUGUCAUAUGGCAAAUGGUACUUUCCACAUUUCCAUCUGGGAUGAAUGAACCAGGGUCAGUUCUAUGCACAAAGACUUACUGGAAGCUAAUCAGUAUCCCCACAAGUGGUGAUUAUAUUUACUGGCAGCUUUCAUCGACUAGCAACUUUCCAUUUUGCAUCAACUUUGAGGCACUCGUCAAAGAUAGCCCCCGAUAGAACAAAUUGUAGCAUGCACUAUUUUUCUUUUUGACAGCCCAUAUGCUGGCAUCAGCAAUACAAAAAGCCCUUCUCUCCAAGGUCAAGCGCAACCCAGAGCAUUAUCUUGCUAACAUGUGAUAAUAAAGUGAACACAUUUUUAGUGAUGGGAUUUUUAAGGGAAAUAAAACAGAGGAAGUUGUAGCAAAGCAAAACAAACAGGUCAAACACUCCCAAGUCUACUUCCUUAGUGGCAUUAUUGCAUAACUGGAUUAUACUACAAUUAUAAGGCAAAUAUAUAUUAAAAAGUAUGCUUCCCAAAUGAAAAAGUAGACUCUAUGGACAUGGCAACUGUGAAAACAAAAUAAAUAAAAAUGCUUCAAUCCAUAACAAGUUUUCCGGGAAGACUUUUGACUUGGGACUGAUGAUUGAUUCCUAAUUGAUCCCUUCCUUGCGAUGGACCUCUGAAAAUUUGAUCUAGAAGGUUCCAGAAUCCUCUGAAUAUGUACAAGCUGCACAUGGGGAAGGGGGGAAUUGAUAUAUCGUUCCUCUACACUUCAGAGAAUGCACUGUGCUUUGGCAAAAGCAGACUCUAUAUCCAAUUCAUAUAUGUGUGUGUGUCUGUGUGUAUGCAUAUGCAUGUAUGUAUAUGUAUAUAUAUGUAUAUAAUAUAAAUAUAAUUAUUGAUAUAAGCAGAUGCGCAAGAGUCCAAGAUUUGAAAAUACCAAUGUACAGUUAGUACAUUUAGUAAUUGAAAUUUCAAAUGGUCUCUUCUAAAGGAAUGCUUCCCGUUACAGCAUCAGAGCAAUUAUUUUUUUAAAAAAUCUGAGAUUUGAAAUAAUCUGAAACUCUCAGGCAUUAUUGCUUUAUUUAGUCUAAUUAAAUUAAGAACAGCACAAUGGUCACAGCAAUAUUAAUUUAUUAAAAACAUCCUCAGAGAUACCGACUGUUCAACUGUAUACUUCAUGAUCUUUCAUUCCGUACUUUAUGCAAGCAAAACAGGAGUCUGUUCAACCUAUGCCACAUACUGGAAACUUGAUACAAUUGAUGUUACAUAAAAACAAAACUAAAUGGGUUCCAUUGUUGUUGAUAUUUUGAUUUAAAUACUGGAAUAAGAAUAUUAACUAAGGAUGCUACAGUCUAGAAGAAAUAGUACAUGACAAGGUUCAACCUACACGUGAAAAGGAAUUCAGGGAACUGCCGAAAACAAGCAAGAUGCAAGUGUCGCACCUUUUUAGAAGGACUAGCAAUUACUUGGAAACUUAAUUUUUAUUUAAUCUUACAACAUUGGCAAAAAGGUUACAAAAUUACUGUAAUGAACUUAUGCCCAGAAGUGCCUGUGAGUAUUUUCAGGAACAGUACCAAAUUAAGGAUUACAGGAUCGUAAAAAUGGAGUACUCUUAAUAAGAUUGUUUUAAACUAUGUGGGCAAUUUUAUUUGCCCAUCAUGUUCAGGCUGGGGAUCCAAAAACUAUUAAACUAAUUACAAGACCAAAGCUGCCCUCACACAGAACUCCAUAACACUCCAUGGCAAUUGCUUUUGAAACUGAGACGUGUAUCAGUCCACAAUUUUAUUAUGUAAAGGAAACAUGAUAGUAACUAUCAAGGCCAAAAAGACAGUAAAUCCACAGCUGAAAUAACUGCCUCAUCAGUGUAAAACCAUCAUUAAACUAGCAAGAGCCACUUAACAGGACAAUAAUUUCAACCUGCAGUGUUAUCUUGGCUCUGAAAGUAUGAAAAUGUUGGUGGACUUAAUUCCAAUGUGUGCCUGAUUUGAGGAAAAUAAGUUUUAUUAGCACAAAAUAUACAUGCACUAAAAAAAUUUACUUAAACAUAUGAAUUUAAUAUUUCAUUUUAUUCAGCAAAUUGGUUUUAUUUACACAAUUGGGAAUGCUGGUUGAAUUUUAUCAGUGGAAUAAAAACAAUUCUAGUAGAGACAAUACUGAACUCCCUUACACAUCUCCAGCAACACUGACCAACUUUUUCCUUACCUGUAUCAGGAACAUCAA